GAACAAGAAGGGGAUCUGGCUAUAACAUUUGAGCCCCAUCAAAGAGCAAGGAUCGUUGCACUCUUUUGGCUACUCAGAUAGGUGGUCCCUUCUUCCCCCUUGGCUUCAAAUGUGUCCUUCCAAUGCUCACUCAUGGGAGGUGACCUUAUCUGUUGGAGGAGGGCCACUUUCCUAUCAAUAGUCAUUGGGCGUAUUCCCACCAGAAUUUCUUAACAAGUCCUUGAGGUCUUGAAACUUUUUUAGGACUGAAG
RNAcentral lists this small RNA (251 nucleotides) under Choloepus hoffmanni (Hoffmann's two-fingered sloth). Its description in RNAcentral is "7SK RNA (ENSCHOG00000015633.1)". It matches the Rfam family "7SK RNA", at positions 1 to 259 of the family's 331-position model. From Rfam's summary of the family: 7SK was discovered as an abundant small nuclear RNA in the mid-70s but a possible function has only recently been suggested. Two independent studies have found that 7SK RNA binds the CDK9/cyclin T complex (known as elongation factor P-TEFb). P-TEFb activates transcription by phosphorylating the C-terminal domain of RNA polymerase II. The record is from RNAcentral. Lineage: Eukaryota; Metazoa; Chordata; Mammalia; Pilosa; Megalonychidae.